GUAUAGAACCUACCUUAUAUUGGGGGAUAGCCCAGAGAAAUUUGGAUUAAUACCCCAUAGUAUGCUGAAGUGGCAUCCUUUAGUAUUAAAGAUUUAUCGAUAUAAGAUGGCUAUGCGUUCUAUUAGCUAGUUGGUAUGGUAACGGCAUACCAAGGCUACGAUAGAUAGGGGUCCUGAGAGGGAGAUCCCCCACACUGGUACUGAGACACGGACCAGACUCCUACGGGAGGCAGCAGUGAGGAAUAUUGGACAAUGGAGGCAACUCUGAUCCAGCCAUGCCGCGUGCAGGAAGACUGCCCUAUGGUUGUAAACUGCUUUUAUAGAGGAAGAAACCCCCCGACGAGUCGGGUCUGACGGUACUCUACGAAUAAGGAUCGGCUAACUCCGUGCCAGCAGCCGCGGUAAUACGGAGGAUCCAAGCGUUAUCCGGAAUCAUUGGGUUUAAAGGGUCCGUAGCGGAUUUGUAAGUCAGUGGUGAAAGUUUGCGGCUCAACCGUAAAAUUGCCAUUGAUACUGCAAGUCUUGAAUCAU
This 531-nucleotide ribosomal RNA is filed under the name uncultured bacterium. RNAcentral's name for it is "bacterial SSU rRNA". It matches the Rfam family "Bacterial small subunit ribosomal RNA", at positions 117 to 650 of the family's 1533-position model. The record is from RNAcentral.